RNAcentral lists this ribosomal RNA (903 nucleotides) under Teichospora austroafricana. RNAcentral's name for it is "LSU rRNA". It matches the Rfam family "Eukaryotic large subunit ribosomal RNA", at positions 38 to 960 of the family's 3401-position model. Lineage: Eukaryota; Fungi; Ascomycota; Dothideomycetes; Pleosporales; Teichosporaceae. The record is from RNAcentral.
GCAUAUCAAUUAGCGGAGGAAAAGAACCCACAGGGAUUGCCCUAGUAACGGCGAGUGAAGCGGCAACAGCUCAAAUUUGAAAUCUGGCUCCUUCGGUGCCCGAGUUGUAAUUUGCAGAGGGUGCUUUGGUGUUGGCUGUGGUCCAAGUUCCCUGGAACAGGACGUCGCAGAGGGUGAGAACCCCGUACGUGGCCGCCAGCCUUCGCCAUGUAAAGCCCCUUCGACGAGUCGAGUUGUUUGGGAAUGCAGCUCUAAAUGGGAGGUAAAUUCCUUCUAAAGCUAAAUAUUGGCCAGAGACCGAUAGCGCACAAGUAGAGUGAUCGAAAGAUGAAAAGCACUUUGGAAAGAGAGUGAAACAGCACGUGAAAUUGUUGAAAGGGAAGCGCUUGGAGCCAGACGUGCCCGGGGAUGCUCAGCCGGGGUUUUCCCCGGUGCACUCUUCCGCGGGCAGGCCAGCAUCAGUUUGGGCGGUCGGACAAAAAGCCUGGUAAACGUACCUCCCUCCGGGGAGGACUUAUAGGGUAGGUGGCAUACGACCAGCCCGGACUGAGGACCGCGCAUCUGCUAGGAUGCUGGCGUAAUGGCUGUAAGCGGCCCGUCUUGAAACACGGACCAAGGAGUCUAACAUCUAUGCGAGUGUUUGGGUGUCAAGCCCGAGCGCGCAAUGAAAGUGAACGCAGGUGGGAACCCUUUGGGUGCACCAUCGACCGAUCCUGAUGUCUUCGGAAGGAUUUGAGUAAGAGCAUAGCUGUUGGGACCCGAAAGAUGGUGAACUAUGCCUGAAUAGGGUGAAGCCAGAGGAAACUCUGGUGGAGGCUCGCAGCGGUUCUGACGUGCAAAUCGAUCGUCAAAUUUGGGCAUAGGGGCGAAAGACUAAUCGAACUAUCUAGUAGCUGGUUCCUG